This 1341-nucleotide ribosomal RNA is filed under the name uncultured bacterium. RNAcentral describes it as "16S ribosomal RNA". It matches the Rfam family "Bacterial small subunit ribosomal RNA", at positions 28 to 1381 of the family's 1533-position model. The record is from RNAcentral.
GACGAACGCUGGCGGCGUGCUUAACACAUGCAAGUCGAACGGAAAGGCUCCUGCUUGCAGGGGUACUCGAGUGGCGAACGGGUGAGUAACACGUGGGUGAUCUGCCUUGUACUCUGGGAUAAGCUAGGGAAACUGGGUCUAAUACCGGAUAGGACCCCCCUUUAGAGGGGGGGGUGGAAAGUUUUUUCGGGGCAAAAUAACCUCCCGGCCUAUCACUUGGUUGGGGGGGAAAGGGCCUACCAAGGCUCCAACGGGUAGCCGGCCUGAAAGGGUGUCCGGCCCCUUUGGAACUGAAAUACGGCCCAAACUCCUACGGAAGGCACCAGGGGGAAAUAUUGCACAUGGGGCCGAAGCCUGAUGCACCAACCCCCCUGGGGGAAUAACGGCCUUCGGGUUGUAACCUCCUUUCCACAGGAACAAACCUUUUUGUGACGGUACCUGUAUAAGAAGCACCGGCUAACUACGUGCCAGCAGCCGCGGUAAUACGUAGGGUGCGAGCGUUGUCCGGAAUUACUGGGCGUAAAGAGCUCGUAGGUGGUUUGUCGCGUCGUCUGUGAAAUUCCGGGGCUUAACUCCGGGAGUGCAGGCGAUACGGGCAUAACUUGAGUGCUGUAGGGGAGACUGGAAUUCCUGGUGUAGCGGUGAAAUGCGCAGAUAUCAGGAGGAACACCGAUGGCGAAGGCAGGUCUCUGGGCAGUAACUGACGCUGAGGAGCGAAAGCAUGGGUAGCGAACAGGAUUAGAUACCCUGGUAGUCCAUGCCGUAAACGGUGGGCGCUAGGUGUAAGGGGCUUCCACGUCUUCUGUGCCGUAGCUAACGCAUUAAGCGCCCCGCCUGGGGAGUACGGCCGCAAGGCUAAAACUCAAAGGAAUUGACGGGGGCCCGCACAAGCGGCGGAGCAUGUGGAUUAAUUCGAUGCAACGCGAAGAACCUUACCUGGGCUUGACAUACACUAGAUUGCUGCAGAGAUGCAGUUUCCCUUGUGGGGGGUGCACAGGUGGCACAUGGUUGUUCUCCGCUCGUGUCGAGAGAUGGUGGGUUAAAUCCCCCCACCAACGCCACCCUUGUUAUAUGUCCCCCACAUUUUAGUUGGGGUCUCAAGAGAGACCGCCGGGGUUAUCUCCGAAGAAGGUGGGGAAGACGUCCAAUCAUCCUGGCCCUUAUGUACAGGGUCUCACACAUGACACAAUGGUGGGCACAACGUGCAGGGACACGGGGAGGAGGAGUGAAUCGCGGAAAGCCGGCCGUAGUUCGGAUUGGGGUCUGCAACUCGACCCCAUGAAGUCGGAGUCGCUAGUAAUCGCAGAUCAGCAAUGCUGCGGUGAAUACGUUCCCGGGCCU